RNAcentral lists this non-coding RNA (61 nucleotides) under unclassified sequences. RNAcentral describes it as "eL15-Euryarchaeota ribosomal protein leader". It matches the Rfam family "eL15-Euryarchaeota ribosomal protein leader". The record is from RNAcentral.
CCUGUCUACGCAGGUCGGGAUGUGAUUCCCCGCCGGAUGGCGUCGGGAAUUGAACCACACG